UAUGAAUUGACUUUCUCUAUUUUCUGC
RNAcentral lists this non-coding RNA (27 nucleotides) under Mus musculus (house mouse). The record is from RNAcentral. Lineage: Eukaryota; Metazoa; Chordata; Mammalia; Rodentia; Muridae.